AUAUAUUCGUGGAAACAUACAAACCAGGAGUUUAAUAAGCCUGCCUCGUUACCCUUUUUUUAAAAAAAGAAUAAACAUUACUUUUCCCACCUACUAAAAUAUUAUGACAAAAAUACCCUUGAAAUUGGAUGUCGACUAAAUAAUAAAAUGCAAAUAUAUCAAGUCUGACGUACCAUAAAGUGCCUAAUUUUCUCAUAUAAAUAUUAAAAUUCCAAAUUUCCGUGUGAUAGUAAUCUAUACUUGUACUUCCAAUUAAGCAACAAAUUAUGUAAU
This 273-nucleotide long non-coding RNA is filed under the name Carica papaya (papaya). RNAcentral describes it as "long non-coding RNA (CPAP_LNC004146)". Lineage: Eukaryota; Viridiplantae; Streptophyta; Magnoliopsida; Brassicales; Caricaceae. The record is from RNAcentral.